CGCCCACGUCCCCGCGCUUCUGGACAUUUCUGGACACCUAUUCCGGAAAAGCUCUGCUGGAAGAGGAAAGAGAAACCCAAGUCUCCUUCCUGGUGCUUAAUAGGCUCCGGGAUCAGUGGUCACUUCUACUUUUCAAGACAAACUUUUAGGAUGCGCCGGGCACGUGGAUGCUACCGAAUCCCAGUGCAUAGUGGGGGACACUGACCCUCACAGAGGGUCCUGCCAGGCUGUGUCGGUGACAGAGUCAAGACAGUUCAAGCCCCGCCCUCAGCAGGUCCUUUGUAUACCAUCCGCCAGGCCAGGCCAGCAGUCAAGAACCACCUGUUCCCAGAAGGGCACACCAGCGGUCCCGGGGUCAUGAGCAACCCUACCUUCCUUCCUGUGAGACCGUAUCCCGCUCCCAGCGGCACGCUUGCUGGCACAGCGUUUCUCGUCCAGCGUGUGGCACGCUGCGCAGCGCAGUGGUGCGUCCUCGUGCCAGGACUCUGAGCUAAGCACUGACCCCGUCCCAACUCAACAGAGGAGGAGAACUUGGGAGCUACCCUUAGGUGGAACCAGGAAGCUGUACUCCCAGCGUCUCGGCUGGUGACAGGCCUCCCGGUCUUUGUCUGGUGAGGCUGGCAACCGCCUGGAAUGAAGAACCUGGACGUGGUCACCUGCAAGAAAUGGGAGGUGCAGGCUCCCCAAAUGACUCCUCUGUGCCUCUCCCUUCACCGCUACAAUUUUAGAGGUUAACAUACCCCAAAAGACUAUGGACAAGGUCUGAUGGAAAGUAGAUGAUAGUAGUAGACAGCAGAAACUAGAUAGUAGAUAGACAAAUGUAUGCCUCUCAGAUUUAUUGACAGAAACCCAGGACACAGGAGUGGAAGUGAUUGUGAAGAUGGCCUGGAGGUAGGGGUUCUACGUGAGCAGCUGAGCACGGCCCUAGCGGCCCCCUCAGUAGGUGUACUGCAGCCCAAGCACAGUGGUGGCCCUCAGUACCUGAAACUGUACUGAUAACUACAGAGGAAGAAAUAAAAGACAUCCAGGGAGAGCAGUGCAUGCUGGUACGUGUCUGUAACCCUAGCUUUGGGGGGGGGGGCAAGCGGGGGCGGGGUGCCAGAAGGAGAAUCAGGAAGGUCAUCCACAGCUGCGUAGUAAAUUGGAGGCCAGCCAUAGGCCUGGAUAUAGCUCCAGGGCUCUCUCCCCAACACUGCAGUGACAGACCUGUAUUCUCUGAAGCUGCGAGGUAAACACAGGAAAACCAAAAGUUCAAGGUCAUCAUCUUAACUACAUAAGAAAUCCGAGGCCAGCCUAUGCUACAGGCCAAUCUCAAAACAAAACUCAGGGAGUCAGGAAUAGGGAGUAGGUGAGUGCCUAUCUUGUUCACUCACUGUCUAACCACAGCUUCCAAAGGACCCAAAGACAGCUCUGUCAGUGGGUAACACUGUGGCCAGAUGCCCUGGGAUCUGGAAGGAAUGACGGCGAUAAGCAGAUUCUUGGAAAUGCUGAGGGUAAACCAGAAGGGAAGAGCAGGGUGAGUGCUCACUCACCCCUCGUGAGUGCUCCAGAAGAGGCAUUUCUGCAGAAGCUCUUGACAGCAGGUGGCAAGAAGCCCUCGAUGUCACCCUCGCUGGUAAUUGAGGGCUCAUUUAAGGAGCUAUGGUCGCAAAUGAGAGUUUAUCAAGCUGGAGUUAUCACAGCUGAUCUGGUCACUGGGCAGGUGACAUGCCUCCUGGCCACAGAGCCACAGUGAGCCACAAAGGAAACAUUUCUUAUGGAGAAAGUGCUGUUUCACCCCAAACUUUUACUCUUGUUAGGUUUCGAAUAGACACUCAGUUUGCAUUUCUUUCCCUUUUUUUUUUAAUGAUGAGUUUAUUAAACCUUUGGAUAUGUGAAUUUGAAUUGAAACAUUUCAGCCAUAAUGUUCCAUCUUUUUUUACAUCACCCAUUCUUUUCUUCCUUCCUUCCUUCCUUCCUUAAUUCCAGUUGCAUUUGCGUUUCCUUUAUUGUUCCAUAAGUCAAUAAUCCCUGCUCAUGUUGUUUGUGGGGUUUUCACAACUCUUUCUACUUCUGUGAAUUCAGUUCCCAUAGCGUUUUCUUCUUCACAAUCAGUUUAUUGUUCAUUUUACAUGUUGUGAUGUUUACCUCUAAAACUUUCAUUUCAUUCAUUUUUAAUCGUCCCUUUUUCUUCUCAUCAUAUUCAUUUUACACUGAAUCUUUGAGCAUAUAUGCAUUUAAUUAUAUAUAGCACGUGAGUUUAGUUGUUGAAUUAACAUUUGGAGACAGUUGAAACCCUCAGUGUAUAAGUUGGGUUUUUGAAGCAGGAUCUUGUUAUCUAGUCUAUAUUGGCCUUUAACUCAUGAGUCUUCUUCCUCAGCCUCCCAAGUGCUAUGCUUACGGGUGUAUGCCACUAUGCCCAGCCUUUUGAACAUGUCUCUAGGGUGUAUGCUGUCUCUUUAAAGCUCUUGUCUGUGAAUUUCCCCAUCACAAUCAUUAAAGUAUGUGUUUGUUUC
Molecule: long non-coding RNA, 2495 nt
Organism: Meriones unguiculatus (Mongolian gerbil)
Lineage: Eukaryota; Metazoa; Chordata; Mammalia; Rodentia; Muridae
Exons: 3
Source: RefSeq, a predicted model, not a curated record